RNAcentral lists this long non-coding RNA (1513 nucleotides) under Gallus gallus (chicken). Its description in RNAcentral is "long non-coding RNA NONGGAT005488". Lineage: Eukaryota; Metazoa; Chordata; Aves; Galliformes; Phasianidae. The record is from RNAcentral.
GCCUACAGGAGCAACAACGGCUUCAACCCGCGCUGGGAGGAGACGCUCACCUUCCAGCUGCAGGUCCCUGAGCUGGCGUUGGUGCGCUUUGUGGUGGAGGACCACGACAGCACCUCCUGCAAUGACUUCGUGGGGCAGUUCACGCUGCCGCUGGGCAGCAUGCGGGAAGGUGGGUGCCCCCCUACUGGGGGAAGGCACAACCCUGUGUCUCCUACUCAGUGUCUGCUCUGUCCCCAGGGUACCGCCACAUCCACCUGCUCUCCAAGGACGGCGCAUCCCUGUCCCCUGCCACGCUCUUUGUGCACGUCACAUGCAGAUGCCCAUGAGGUCCCCAUGGCCAACGCGCUCCUCCAUGGUGUUCAGGAUGUCCUGCAGGGACAGGAUGGGGACACUGCUCUCCAGCCAGGGUGACAGCAGGGCUGCCUGGGGUCCCCAGUGGGGUAGGGGACCCUGUCUGUGUCCCAUUUGCUGGCGCUCACACCCCACUUUUCCCCUCUGGCUGAGACCAGGAGAUGGGGACAUGGUGACAAGCAGGACAGGGUGGUCCAGCCACCACAUUCCCAUUGCAUCUGCAGGGACAUGAUGGUGACAGCAACUUCACCAACUCCAUCCUGACUCCUUUGGGCUGCAGGGAUGGUGCCUGCCACAAUGUCCCCAAGGGGACUCUGCCACCACAGCCAUGGCGCUGACCUUCUGUAUGGUUUGGUGCCCAAGAACCAUUGACAGAUUUGUACCCAGUGCCCAGUGGGUCGAAUAAAGGUUUAUUGAACAGCCUGCCCCGCGUCCCCAUCACUUGCUGUCACCUGCAGGGGGGGUGGCUUUGGGGACGAAGGGAGGAGAUGCAGGGGGAAAUGGCUGAGCCCCCUUUUCUGAUGCUCUCCCCAGUGCUGGGGGCUCGUUGGAGCCUGAUUCACCCCACUGUCCCACAGCCCCAGAAAGUCCCACGUGCUCCUGGCUCUGUGCUCGUAGCUGAUGUCCCCAUCACCACUGCAGGGCGGCUCUUGGCUCUGUGGGGCACAGGAGGGGACGUAGAGCUGCUUGCAUAGUAGGGGGACAGGGACACUGGGAGUGCAUAGAUGGGCGUGUGCAGCUUUGGAAACCUUUGGCGUGGAGAUCGAGAGCGAUGGAAACAGAUGUCUUCUUGGGAAAAAGGGUCCCGUGGAAGAAUCCAAUCCUGAUUCUGAGCCUGUGCAGGAGGCACUGGGGCAGUGGGAAAGGCCGAGCCCCCAGGAAGGCUGAUGGCACGUUGUAGGGCACGCAGGCCAGACUUGGAUGGCGUGGAGAGAAAAGCAUCCGAGCACAGCACGCCGAGGUGGCAUGGGGUGGCAGAUGAGGAGGUGUUCCAAGCUGGGUCCCCUGCAUCUUCGCCCUGGUGAGCACUGAGGGUUCGAGUCUCCGAGGCUGGGGAGGAGAAGGGACAAGGCAUUGCUUGCACAAAUAGCCCUUAAAACCAAACAUCGAGGUGUUCCCAAGCAGGGAGGGAUGGCACCAAGGAGGAGGUGGUGGCCUUCAG